UCUUUUUCUUAUUCACAGGACGAUUCUGUGGAGAGAAGGCGAGAGGUCGCUAUCCGUGGCUUAGUGGUGUAUCUCAGGGAAAAGGAGGAGGAUCUCUUCAAAGAGCAGGAUGGUGGCGGGAUAUUACCAAUGAAGUGAUGAAAAUUGUAACCAGAGGUGCCACAACGUCUGAUCCAGCCAGCGCAAGGAUCAUACUUGAAGGAACAGAAGUCCUAGCAGACCUGGAUGUACCCAGAGCCUGUGCCUUGCUAAUGGGGCUGAUAUAUGCACUCAACCUCAGCUACCCAAAAGAACUGAAAAACACUUUUGAAGUGUUUCAAAAGAUAUUCCUCGAGCUGGAUGAUCUGAAAGCCAGUCCUAAGACAGCCUUUUCUGUGAGGAAAGAGAAGUUCUACUGCUUGUUGUUUCAAUCGCUCUGGCCCACCAGCGUCCAUGGACAAAAACAGCAAUUUUACCUGACAGCACACAGGAGUUGCUGGUCUCCUGCUGCCUUGAUCAGUAAGUGUAAUUGUGUUAUUUGGUGACUUUGGUGUUAGUUCGGGUUAGUUCAGAUUUACCAAAGUCACACAAACAAACUGAGCCUAUCGUGCGUGUCGGUGGCAGGAAUGUGCUGACUGCUGUCUACUGUGUGUAAUACACUCACAAUGUACUUCAUACUUAAAAAAACCUAAACUAUCACUUUAACACAAACAAACUUGAAUCAGAGCAUGACUGUCAAAAUGUUCA
Molecule: long non-coding RNA, 726 nt
Organism: Oreochromis aureus
Lineage: Eukaryota; Metazoa; Chordata; Actinopteri; Cichliformes; Cichlidae
Exons: 3
Source: RefSeq, a predicted model, not a curated record